CAGGGAAUCCCAAGAGUCUGGCGACCUGUGAGUCAGGAAUUGUGGAGGAAGACCAAAUAUAUAAGAGAAAUAGAUUUGUUUAACUGAAUGACCGAAUAUGUAUUUCUCGUAAAUUACAACACGGCCCUAGGCCACCCUCAUUCCCUGGUUGGUGGCCUUUUCCACCAUCUUCAAAGCCAAGAAUGUCAGAAGUUGUGAGAAGUGUUUGAAUCUUGGAUAUAUUUUGAAGGAGAGCCAGGAAUAUACGCUGAUGAGUUGGAUGGAGAGUAAGGAUGAGCCCAGAGUUCUGGUCUGAAGAACUGGAAGCCUGGAGUGGCCCUUGACCGCAAAUGAGCAUGUCCAGGUGGUAUUUGUGACCACAACGUGUCCUGUGCGCCAUGCUAACGUUAGAGUGGCAGCCAGAGAAGUGACGAUCCCACACUGUCAAGAGCAUGUGGUCUACCCUGCAGCGGUAUUUCACGGCCUCCAUUAGAAGCACCAGAAAUUGCCGGAGAUUCCCCUUAGCCGUGCUCACAGGAAGCCCUUGUCAAGGCCCAUUGCAUGGGCCUGACAGCGGCUCUCUCAUUGCUGGGGCCACAACACAGCGCAUCUUUCCUGCUGCUCUGGAUCAUGGCCUCUUGGGCUUCCUCUCUUGCGCUUCCAAAUUCUUGGGGAGAUUGCCACUUCCUGCCCCGGCCUCUUUCUGCUGGUCCUAUCCUGCUGCCCUUCACCUUCUCGCGCCCACCUGCCUCACAGCACUUACCAGAUCAAAGCAAUCACCUGAAGCAGUGAAACACACGGGUGAAACCGAAAGGCGAGCUCUUCGUUUAUCUUUCAUUCCUCAAGGACUGAUGGGCCUCCGGCUGCUCCUAGCCACUCGCUUUCCCGCAUUCUGCCUAGAUUGGCCUCCCUCUAAAUGCCCCGUGCUCCUUAAUGACCCUUCCCUGCCCCCGUGAUCGCACUCUCCAGCUUCGUGAGCAGCCAUCACAGAUAAAAGUAACAUGAAGGGUUCAUCCGUGAUAGGCAGAAUGGGGAUCCCAUGGGGCCAGAAAUCGAGAGACUCGAUUCAAGUUCCAAUUCUACCAGUGACCAGCUGUGAGAUAUUAGUCGUGUCGCACACACCCUCUGGGGUCACUUUCCCCUUAUCUUUUAAAUGGAAACCUCAGAGGCUCUGAUGGCUUUACACCGCGCCCACCUUGUCAGGUUGCCCUACAUUUCCCAGAAUUCCCUUUCUUGUGUGUUUCCCGUUAGGACUUCCCACGAAGAAGACCCUUGGCAAGUUCUGGAGGGUGGAAAGGGAGCGGCAGCCGUUCCCAGUGAGUGUCAGCUCACUGAUACUAUUGCUGAUCUGCUAACUCACCUCACUGGCUUGAAGAAGCAGCUGGUCUCUAACUCCUCUACCCCCCCCACCCCGACCCCCGCCAGGGUCCUUCCUCCUUCAGCGUCUACCAGGGGUGGGUCAGGUGUGUAUGCUUAACUCUAUGACAAAGGAUGCCUAGGGCUUCUGCGUACAUCACUAAGGAGAAAGGCAAUGAGAACUCACAUGGGUUUUAGUCCGUCCGCACAGAGUGCUAGUUUAUUCUUGGAGCUGAGCAUUCAUUUGGCUCAUGGAUCUGUAGGACCAUUGAGGGUAUUCUUUACAUGGUAUGUCUAAUGGUCACCUGCCAUGAAUUGGAUCCACUUGUGUGUAUUCUGGAGCCCAGUGUGAAAGGACAGCAGCUACCUGGGAGAGGCUGUGUUCUUGGAGAUGGCAGAAGCUCAAGUUAAGCCAGCACCUGUCGAAAUUUUUUUUUUAAGUUUAUUUAUUUCCUUUGAGUGAGAGUGUGAGGGAGGGGCAGGGAGGGAAGGAGAGAGCGAAUCAAGCCAAGCUCCACUCUGUCAGAGUAGAGCCCAAUAUAGGGCUUGAACUCCUGAACCGUGAGAUCACGACCUGAGCCAAAAUCAAGAGUCAGAAGCUGAAAGGAUUGAGCCACCCAAGCACCCCAAGCAAGCCCAGUUCAGACUCUGGAUUGCAUCAUGUCUGCUAACAUCUCAUUGGCCAAAGCAAAUCACAUGGCUAACUCUAAACUCAGAAGAGGGAGAGGCACACUCACCUCUCCUGGGAGGAGCUGUGGGAAGUAUAUAGGAAAGAGCGUAGGUUCAGACUAAAGAGUUGAGGCCACAUUUAAAAUACAGCAAGCAAAAGGUAAUAGAGGGCAGAGAGUAACAUAAAACAAUAAAAAAUAAAAAAUACAGCAAGCACUGGGUGUUUGUUACAUAUAAGUGAUGAAUCACUGAGUUCUACUCCUGAAACCGAUACUACACCAUAUGUUAACUAACUUGAAUAUAAAUAAAUAAAUUAAAAAAUAAAUAAAAUACCGUGGUUUGGAAAAGUGUCCGGAAACCCGCUUCUGCUGCUUACAAGCUAUGACAUAACUAGAAAUGGUUGUAAAUAAACAAAGGGAUCUCUCUUCUAGUUCUAACUCUGCCAUCAAGGAGCUGUGGCAUAUUGGGAAAGGUAAUCCAUAAAGUUUUGUCUGGAAAACAAGGGUAAUAAUAUUCAUCCCUGGAGGAAGGUCAGUUUGAUCAGAUCUUUUAAGGAUUCUAUGAGUUAGGGAGAAAAUGAGGAAUGCAUGGAAUCAUCAGAUCUUGGAAAUAACGACAGAUUUGUUUUGGGUUUUUUUUGUAAUCUUUCAUUCAGUCAUUAAAAAAUCCUUCAUUUAACAACAUAUUUUGCCAUCGUACUUAAAAAUACUUACAAAUUAUAAGUAAAAAUGAAAGCUUGCCUUCAAAACCCUUACACCAAAUUCUAUAUUCAAUUCUGCCUACAAUACAAAUCAUUGUUGAAAUGCUGCCUGUCUCUUUCCAAAUCUUUUCAUGACUUUAAAUACACACACACACACACACACACACACACACACACACAAUCAUAUUCUUUCAUUUUGUACUUUGCUCUUCUACUUUGCUAUAUCUUGGUCUUUUCAUUUUGGUCUACAUCGAUCUAUUUCAUCUUUUUAAAGCGUGUCCUAUUUCCAAGCGUGAAUCUACCAGAGUGUAUUUAACAUCUGCUCAUUUAAUGAUUACAGAAACUCUUCUGUAUAUGCCUUAACUAAAUCAAAUGUCGAAGAGAACAACUUUGAGCCUGCCUUUGUGCAAUGUGAGAAUGUUUUCUGUAGGGUAGGUACCUAAGAAAUAGGUGGGUUGAAGAAUUGUCACAUUUCUGAAUCACUUCCAUAAUGUCCUCCAAAUAAAAACAGAUCCAAUUUAUAAACUCACCCACAUUAUAUACAAGUAGGAUCUCCAAAUUUUUACCAACACAGAAAACCACCAACUUCUAAGUUGUUUCUUCUCUAGUUGAAUGUUUGCAUGGUUGUUCCAAGGAUUAUUAUGAUAAGCAGAUGUCCACAGGCACAGGCAAAGGAUAUGAGUUCCUUUAAUGUUAGUAAAGAAUACAAACUGCAUUGCAUGAGGAUGUCUAGACAAAGCAGCAAGGAGAUGUGCACAGUUCUCCUCACUGGACCGGCAAGUUUUGUCAGCCUUAAAGCCUACACAAAGAAGCACUUUUGCACGUGGCACCAUCCAAAUAGAGUAAAGUCCUCCUGAGCCAGCAAGAAGCUUCCUUGUGGCAGGUAGAAUGAUGGUUCCCCAAAGAUGUCCAUGCCUUAAUCCUCAGAACCUGUAAAUAUGUUGCCCAUGCGACCAAAGAGAGACUGUGGAUGUGAUUAUGGUUAAGGACUUGAGAUGGGGAGUUUAUCUUGCAUCAUCCAGGUGGAUUCAGUGUAAUAAAAAUCAAUCCUUAAAAGCAGAGAAGCUAUCCUAGCUGUGAUCAGAGAGACAGCUAUGUACACAGAAGGAUGGUCAGUGAGAUUCAGUGUUGCCGGCUUUGAAGACGGGGGAAAGGUGGCCACGAGACAAGUGACAUGCAAGGACAUGGAUUCUCCCCUAGGGCUUCUGGGAACAAGUACCAUCCUGCCAAUGUCUUGGUUUUAGCCCAGUGAGAUCCGCAUCAGAUUUCUAACCUACAGAACUGUACAAUGACAAAUCUGUGUCAUUUAAGCCACUAAGUUUGGGGUAAUUUGUUACAGCAGCAAUAGAAAACUAAUACACCCUUUCUCAUUGUGUGUUGGGGCAGGGAGCCAUG
This is a long non-coding RNA of Leopardus geoffroyi (Geoffroy's cat), 4099 nucleotides long. RefSeq lists it as uncharacterized. The record is from RefSeq and is a predicted model, not a curated record. The transcript is spliced from 3 exons. NCBI's taxonomy places the organism in Eukaryota, Metazoa, Chordata, Mammalia, Carnivora, Felidae.